UGGGGAAUAUUGGACAAUGGGCGAAAGCCUGAUCCAGCCAUGCCGCGUGUGUGAAGAAGGUCUUCGGAUUGUAAAGCACUUUAAGUUGGGAGGAAGGGCAGUAAGCGAAUACCUUGCUGUUUUGACGUUACCGACAGAAUAAGCACCGGCUAACUCUGUGCCAGCAGCCGCGGUAAUACAGAGGGUGCAAGCGUUAAUCGGAAUUACUGGGCGUAAAGCGCGCGUAGGUGGUUCGUUAAGUUGAAUGUGAAAGCCCCGGGCUCAACCUUGGAACUGCAUCCACAACUGGCGAGCUAGAGUAGGGCAGAGGGUGGUGGAAUUUCCUGUGUAGCGGUGAAAUGCGUAGAUAUAGGAAGGAACACCAGUGGCGAAGGCGACCACCUGGGCUCAUACUGACACUGAGGUGCGAAAGCGUGGGGAGCAAACAGG
Molecule: ribosomal RNA, 429 nt
Filed under: Pseudomonadota bacterium
Lineage: Bacteria; Pseudomonadati; Pseudomonadota
Description: Proteobacteria bacterium partial 16S ribosomal RNA
Rfam family: Bacterial small subunit ribosomal RNA
Source: RNAcentral